Molecule: non-coding RNA, 354 nt
Organism: Salvelinus sp. IW2-2015
Lineage: Eukaryota; Metazoa; Chordata; Actinopteri; Salmoniformes; Salmonidae
Source: RefSeq, a predicted model, not a curated record
AUGGUUUCCGAGACAGAACACAAAAUAAUGACAGACCUACCGGCCGAGUUACUCGAGUACAUCUUAUGCUUCCCUGUCCUCAAGCAUGUCGACAUUUGCAACGUUUCCUGCAGCUGCAAGCGGUUACACGACGUUUGCCAUGGCAGAGGGAAGGUCUGGGGACACCAGUACAAACUCAGAUGGCCAAGAUUGCAGAAGCAUUACCGCCAGAAUGAGUGUUGCGAUUGGCUGAAAGAAUACAGAACGCGACACACUGUUGGUCUACAAAUACGACGAACAGUUGUAUCCAUCUCAAAGAGAUUCUUCACGGAAGUUGUGCUGGGGGACAGCUUUGCUGAGAUUGAGUCCCUCGGG